Molecule: long non-coding RNA, 33057 nt
Filed under: Setaria italica (foxtail millet)
Lineage: Eukaryota; Viridiplantae; Streptophyta; Magnoliopsida; Poales; Poaceae
Description: long non-coding RNA (SITA_LNC001896)
Source: RNAcentral
GUUUUGCCUCAUUUGCAUCUGCUUCUUUCACAUUUUCUAGCUGUCUUAGCUCCAGCUGACCACCAAGGUCGUCUAACCACCCAAGUUCUCCCACCUUACUGCAACCGGAUCCAGCACCUGCUACAAAGCAUGUAAGGGUCUGUAGGGAAGUGAGGUGUCUAAGGUCAGCAGGCAUGGUCUUUAACUUUUCACAUCCGUGAGUGUAGAGGUGACGGAGGGCAGUCAUGUACUUCAUUCCCUUUGGAAGUCGUUCAAGAUUGCGACAGUCAGAAAGGUUCAAUGUUUGCAGAUGAUAUAGGAUGCUUAUAUAUUUAGGAAGUGAUUUAAUAUCAUAGCUUCCUGAGAGAUCAAGAUACCUCAGGUGAUGAAGACAUCUGGGUCCGAGGAAUGAAGCUCGGUUGAUCUUUAUCUUUAGUGCUCGCGGAGAUAUGUACUUCGACAAAAGCUGCAAGUCUACGAAUACAUCUGCCUCACAUAUCAGUGUUUGUAUAACGUCAUUAUCUUUAUCUUUAUCUUUAUCUUUAUCUUUAGUGCGUUUCUCCUGGUAAGCAUUCAGAAAAGUUUCUGAUAAUAAUAAAUGACGAGUUGAAUGUGAAAAAUCCCCACUUUUACUCUGUUCUGUAGCUAGAGCAGCGCAUUCUUUUCCCAUAGAAUCUAGUGCAACGUCAUGCAUAAGGUGAUGGAUCUUACAAGUAACUCUAGAGACCUCUAUAUCAGUGAACUCAAAUGGGAUCCCCUUCACAUCCUGGAAAAAUGACCUUGACGCAAGCUCAAUGAAAAUAUUUUUACCUGAAAUUUCAGGAUGUUCUUCUCCUUGUAGCACCGGGAUAAAAUCAUUGGCCAUCCAUAACUGGAUCAACAUUUCCACGUCAAUCUCAUAAUCCUUGGGAAACAUAGCACAGAAAGCAAAGCAUUGCCGCAUAUGUGAUGGCAAGCAAUUGUAACUAAGCUUGAGUACUGGUAAGAUUCCGUUUCUAUCAUCACAAAUCUUUUUUCUCCUUAGCACAUCCUUCCAUUCCCGCGCGGUGGUCAUGGUACUUAACACAGAGCCCAAUGCUGUAGCAGCUAAAGGAGAACCAGCACAUCUCUUUGCAACAUCACCAACCAUGUUAACUAGUUCACGGGGCCAAUCCUUUUCUUGUUUUGAGCUGAAUGCUCUUGACUUGAUAAUUUCCUCUAUGAAAUUUUCACCCAAGCGUCCAAGUUCAUAGGCUCCUUUAGCUGUACCCAUCAUUAGUUUUGCGACUUCUUGAUCACGAGUUGUUGUCAACACUGAACUGCCGCUGCCACCAUGAAGGUAGGACUUCAGUUUUUCCCACUUGUGUGCCUCAUCACGGUUCCAGACAUCAUCCAAUACGAGGAGGUACCUCUUCCCACUCACUACAUUUUGAAGCUUGUCCAAUGCUGAACUUCCAUUUGCUUGACAACCAUUCUUCUUAGCUUCUUUCGUUUCAAACUUCUUCUUAGCUUCUUUCACAAUUCUUUUAGCCAGGGUAUCCACAUCAAAGUUGUCAGAGACGCACACCCAGAGUUGCAGCUGGAAAUGCUUCUGAAUCUCAGGGUCAUUGUAAACAAGCUGUGCUAAGGUGGUCUUCCCCAUCCCUCCCAUCCCGACAAUAGGAAAGACCGUGAGAUUCACAUUGCUAGCUUUAUCAAGCAACGACUUAAUAAUCUUCUCCUUGUCUCCAGCUCUGGAUCUGCCGGCAAUGUCCACAGGGUCGAUGAUUUUAGAACUAUUCUCCCUCAAGUGAUUUACGGGCACUGGUGGCCCUUGCCGGAACUUGAACCCGAAACAAUUCAUCUCUGCGAUAAGGACAUCAAGUUCUUGCAAAAUUAUGCGGAGCUUGUUGCCCAUCUUGAUACGGAACACAAAACGGUUGUGAGAAGGGAAGAGCUUUAUUACAUCCAUGCCGAGCUCCUUGUAGUGCCCCUCCUCCCUGGCUUUGCGGCGGAGCGCCUCGUACUUGAAUUCGUCCAAGACGUCAUUCGCCUGGUAGGCCACUUGCCGGACCUCCUCCAGCCAAGCUUUCGCCCCUUCUCGCUUGGCUGCUGCCUGCUCCUCGGCGUCGGUGAUGACGUCCAGGAUGGCCGGCAGCUUGCGCUUGAGGAGCUUGUGCUGCUUCUCCAAGCCCUGCAUCACCUGGUACUGCUCCAGGAGGUAGCUGGAGGCCUUCUCCUUCACCAUGGACACCAGUGGCCCGACCACCAUGGUGGCCAGCACCUCAGCCAUCGGAACGCCUGGAGCUCGAUCAGAACACACGCGCAGGAUAGUGGACACAGGGAAACACAGUUGCAAGGUGGAGAGGGAGACGAUGGGUUUGAGAAGCUGCUUUUGGGGAAAAUGGAGACUGCGAGCUUGCAUUGACCUUGGAGGAGCCAAGUGGAAUGGGUUUGAUUGGUUGCAAUAAAUUACAGCAUUAUAGAAUGACGUUUGUACAAAUGUGUUCCAGCUGUCCUGAUAGGGAUCGAAGAUUGUCGCAUUCCCAAAUCUUCAAGGUCUUGAUGACGGAGGAAGAUUGGCAACGAGAAGCCACUUGUACAUCUUGAUCUGCAACUCCUCAAACAACGAGAAGCCAGCUAAGGAAAAUUCCAAACCAUGUGGGAGCAUGUGGCCUUUGCAAUUUGCAGACCAUCCAUGAGUAUCUCGAGGCCAGGAAAAAAAAAAAGAAUACCGCAAGUAUUAGACAGAGCAGAAUCCAGAAGCUACAUGGUUAAUUAGCAAUAACCUUGAUCAAUGUGGAGCAACCGGCGAUGCAGCAGGAGGUUGUUGCGGGCCAAAGCAAGAUAUAUAGGGGAAGGAGCAGUGCGUGGCUAUCCAACAACCUGAUGAUUCGAGGGGUGUUCCUCACGCACACCUAAACAACAGUAAAAGGGUUCUAACUUUAAAGCAUGCUUGAGACUAUGGCCAAAAGUGAUGCAUGUGUAGAAACCACCAGGAUUAAGAAUUAGAGAUGAGAAGUAACUAGCAAGUUGAAAAUUUAGACUUCAUGAAUUAAUGACGUCAAAGGAGUUUGAGUACAUGUUACCAUGUUAGGCAUGCCUAGAUGCGGAAUUGCGGAUACUGAUACUCGAUGACGAGGACCUCGAGAGUCUACUGUGUGGCAGUGUGGUUACAUACUUACAUUAGCCUUCACUGUAAGACAUAAGAAAACAGUCGAAAUCAAACCUGUUGCUACAAUUUUGUCAGAUCACCAGCAUUUUCAUCUGACUUGGCAAUUUAUGAUGGGAGAACCGUCAGGUGAAGCCUGUCGUUUUCACCUGUAUGGAUGUAUAUCAUUGCGUUUACAAUCGUACUUGGAUGGGUGACUCUACUUCCUUCUGUCCAUACAACAACACUACAGCGUACGCUGAUAUAAUACUCUCAGCCAGCUCACAGUUAAGAGAAGUUCUCACAAUGGGUUCAGUUUAUCUGGUUACUGUUUGAUUUCAUCAUUUCGAGUGCCUUAAAUGGUGCUGCUGCAGUCCAUACUCAUACAUGCAAACAGAAUAUCUUUUUGUGUGACUCACUGAUGAAGUAGUAAGAAAUAGAGACGCAGUUGUACUGUACAAUGGAAACAAAAGCAGAAAAGGAAAAGGGUUUAACUCUUCCCCAGGCAAAAGAAAGAAAACUGCAUCUGCUUCAGAAAAUUCAGUUCGGGCUUAUUCAUCUUAGCUCACCUUGUUAUGUCCUAACUUGCAGUUCCACUCCCCAGUUCUCAGAAUUCAAUGUAUAAUUCUCGUCUGUUGAACAAUGAACAUCAAGACUGAGUAAGGGCUUUGGUCCACAACAGAAAAAUGUGAGGAGACUCCUACCAAUAAAUCAAAGAAGCAACUGUCCACUAUGGAUAUAAACAAGGCAAGGAAAGAAACAAAGACAAACAACUUCAGAUAAAUAAGUGCACGAUAACUUAUUCGUGUAAGUUUUCCAUAAAAAUUUGAAUAACUCAAGUAGACUUGUGACUACAAGUCGUACUGGGGCGCUAAGGCCUCGAGAGCUGAAUAGCUCAUGGUUGCAGCUGACCCACCUUUGCAAGCCGCUUGGUGAGUUGAAUAACUCAAGUAGACUUGUGACUACAAGUCGUACUAGGGCGCUAAGGCCUAGAGAGCUGAAUAGCUCAUGGUUGCAGCUGACCCUCCUUUGCGAGCCGCUUAUGGAGGCGAGGACAAGUAGUCGACUGCUGUUGAAAAGUAAUUGCAUUAGUAAAGGUCGAAACUAGUGGCCUGUGUACAAUGUCUCAUAGUCUAUUGACUAGGGAUAGAAAUGACAGAGAUGCUCGAUGUUCCACGAGUUCUCAACAUUUUCGCCGGAGUGAUGUUGUAGCCUGUAGGAUCCUAGGCCUGUGACCUUAGAUACGAUGAAAGGCCCCUCCCAUGGCGAAUUGAGAUUGUGUAGCCCCUUGGUGUCUUGGAUACACUUGAGGACGCACUUUGUACACAGGCUGAAAGACGCACUUUGUAGGGUUGAGUUUUCACCGAAACGCUCGCAGGCUGGUGAAGUGUGACGACUGACCCCAAAUCUCUCAAGUUAAUCUUAAUCUAAGUCCCUAAUCACGUCUCAGCUUUAUCGAGUUUAAAUACUCAACCUCCAGUCCGGACCCAACCCCUUAGACCCGACCCCUCUCCACUGGCCUCCAGUUCCGACCCCGCCGACCCCAACUCACCCGCCGGAUUCUUCUAAGUCUUUCCCCAACACCUCCCUUCAAUCUGACCGAUGGACCCACGAGAUCUUUUUCCCACAGAUCUUCCACGACAGGCGCACUCGAGUUGCAUGCCCGCUUCAGAGUUCCCCCGUCGCGUGGCUCAACUCCUCCGACACCCGCCGCUCCGCCUCGCCUUCGGCCCGCGACCGGAUAGUUUCUCGCGCCCUUUUCCCCAAUCGCAGCGGAAGCUCCUCUGCUACUCUUUCUGCAGCGCCUCACCGCCCGCGCCCAUCAUCACGUCGCCAGAUCCCGGCUGCAAGGCCCGAGGUCUCCCGUCUUUUCCGUAGCCCUUCCACAGUCGCGCCGCCCAGGUCCGCGCUACGCGACGAUUCCUCCUCCGCCAACCCCGGCCCUGGCCGCGACAACUCCUUUCCUGCCUUGUCAGCGCGGCGCUCUGACGGUCUGUUGCUUCGUGCUCGCCCGCGCGACUGCAGCCCACCUGUCGUCUCAACCGAGCAACCUCGCUCCUAGCGCCGUUCCCCCUAUCACAUCCAUCAUAUUCGUCGCACGACGACGCCCGCCUCCGCCAAAUCUCAACCACCGGCAAACCCGCGCCUGCGCCGCCCUGACGCCAGUACCCAAUGACCGCCAGCGUCAUCCUCGGAGUCCUGCUCCACCACCCUCGUCACUCAAUCGCCGCCCGGGCAGAGCACUCCAUUGCUUCUUCCCCGGCCUUCGCGCCGCUCCCCUUCUCACUCCCGCGCCGCUAUAAAAGGGAAUGCGCAAGCCCCACCGGACUUUUCCCUUUCCCUAGCUGCCAUCUCCCUUGCUCCUCUGCUUCGUGCUCAAAGCGCUACAGCCUAAGUCCCUGAGGAACUCUCCUCUCCGCUCCACACCGCUCUCCCCCAAUCCACCCAGCCGCUUGCUCCUCCGUGCUGCGUAAGAGCUUACUUGUGAUCCACAAGAAGCACCGCCGCCGCCGAAGCACCGCCGGACAUCUCCGCCGCCAGUCUUAGUGUUCCAGUCCCUCCGCCCAAACCUGCUCUUUCCCGACCCCAAGCCUUCCUUGUAAGACGAAGGUAAGCUGCUGAUCCCUUUUCCGCCUCGUCCGACCCUCCUGUUCGUCCGAUCCCUUUUCCGCCUCGUCCGACCCUUCUGUUCGUCCGAUCCCUUUUCCGCCUCGUCCGACCCCUUGUCCGCCUCGUCCGACCCUUCUGUUCAUCCGACCCCUUGUCCGCCUCGUCCGACCCUGUCUGUUCUGCCGAUCCUUGUCCGCUUCGCCCGACCCCUCUUAUCCACCCGACCCCGGUUCCAUCUCGCCCGACUCUGUCUGUUCCGCCGACCCUCCUCCGCCUCGCCCAAGGACUCGGCUGUAUUCUUUUUCUUCAAACCGAGGGUGUAUGUGUAAAACUUGGGGACCCUUCAGCGUUGAGUCUGAGGACCCCUAGCACAGCUAUUCCUCAAGAUUAAGGGUCAGAUCAUAAGUUCCCUUCCUCCGACCCUUACCUCUUGAUCUCCACCCACUCCUUUGAACCUCCCUGCCCUCCUGUAACUUGUCGCAAGUUGCUAGGCUCAGACUUGCAAGUGUUGCUGUUGAUUUAACCGUCUAAAUGCUAACCCAUGCAUUGCAUUCGUGUAGAGCUGCGUCUCGCUGACGGCUACUACGAGCUGCACCCGGCGCCAGAAGACGACGGUGUAGCUGAGCUCCUGCCCUCAGAAGCCGAAGCUGCCCCAGAAGUCGAGCAGUUCCCUUCCUCUUUGCUCGAAGGCAAGCCCCGGAUGCAUGAAUCCCCCUAUGUUUUACCAAACUUGCGCAUGCUUUCUGCAUCUUGCUUGUGCAUUUACGUAUAGGAGUUGUUUGGAACCAUAGAUGUAUAACUUAAACCCCAUGAUCUGAACACUAGCUGUUGGACCGAGUAGCUGCUUUGCUUAAAUAGGAAGCGGUAAAAGUCGAGUGAUUUCCUGUCACUCGCAAGUUGUAGGAGUUGGUUGUUUUCCUCCUGUCACAACUAUAAGGACGAUGGACGGGGCAGGGUUUUGGUUAACUUUUUGGUGGACGGUUGAUUGCCCCGUCUGUCUAUGAAACUUGCUAAGGCCCGACAGUGGUGGUGUUCGUGAUCAAGUGUUUGAAAGUACUAACCUCAUACUUAUUAUGGGAUGAGGAAGCCGAGUACCGGAUUGAACCUAGACGUGAGCGGUCGCCCCAUUGUUCUUGGAACGGAGUUUCCCCUGCUGGUUGUCGCACGUGGUGGUAAGCGUGGUCACAGGAGGGCAGAGGCCAGGUCUGUGGAACCUUGCACCAAAGGAAAUGGGCCCGACACGGGUUAGGGGAUUGAUGGGGAAGGCCGACACAGGAAGCGACCUCAGUGGUGCGCGGAUGUCGUGAGGUUAGGUUCGCCAUGCAUGGUUAAAGAACUUGAAUCGAUUCGUCUGCCUCUCACAGUUUGAGACUGCUUGAUCGCUAUGCUACCCUGAGUAAGAAAGAAAUAUGAUGAUGACAUGGUCUUGAUGAUAUAUAUAUACCUUUUGGUUGGUUCUAUGUUUGUUUAGAGUAAGUUGGUAACUUAGACUGGAUAAUGAACCUAGAACCUGAGCUAAAACUUGAAAAUAGAGAUCUACAUAGUGCUUUUGGCAAACAAACUCCUCAGCCAAAGAGCCUGGCAUAUCUAGAAAGGUGGAGUAGCUUUACUCCUGUCGGUUAAGUCUUGUUGAGCUUAGUAGCUCAGCCUUGUUGUGGCUCUUCUUUUUCAGGUGAAGUUGUUGUUUCUGAGUCUCCUUCUGCUGGCACUUGGCCGCCCCAACUCCCUCCGGGUUGGACGGUUGAGUGGGAUCCCUCCUCGGACGGCGAGGAGCGGGAUCACUGACGUCUUGGCUGGCCUCACCAAGGACGUCCGACCCCCUGCGUUUAGCUUCCGCUUGCUGUUUUACCUUCUGUUGUUUCUUUUGAACCUUGUAAAACUCUGAUGUUGUUUUAUAACCAAACUAAUUGGUUAAGUUGUUUAACUCGGUGGACUUGUUGUAUUCUCUGGAAUCACUCACCUUCGUGUGAGUUUGCUAAUUCGGUCCUGUUCAAGUGGUUAAAUCGGAUGAAAUCCGAUGGCACUUCGUGUUAACUUGGCUAAGGCAUCGGUGUCGCAUGUUAGGCGACUUAACCAUGUCUAAUCAAGCUAAUCCGAAGUGGAUCCGCCACAGCUGGUAUCAGAGCAGGUUUAGCAAGACAGAGAACACAAUAGGCCCUAAAAUACUUCUUUUAAAUAAAAGUUGCAAAGAAAAUUUUUGAAAAUCUCGUACGAUCGUUAAGGAUGACUUUAGUACGAGAGGCCCUAGGGGAUUUUGGGGUUGUUUUAGGUGGCUAAUACUUAUUGGUUAUCUUGCUAACUUCCAGCACUUCGCCACGUGUAUCAUACGUGUGCCGAGUUCCGCAUCACGAGUAUGCGAGGGUUGAUAGGGAGUUCUAUUCAAAGGACCCUAUCAUCGCGGUUGUUUCGCCCGCGUUUAUCAUACGUGCGCAGGUUCCGUAUGUUAAUUCAUACGAAGGGUGGUAUGGUUCGAUUCCAACGAGCCUAUCAUCACGGUUGUUCGCCCACGUCUAUUAUACGUGCGCUGAUUCCCGCAUCACGAGUAUGCGAAGGGUUAUAUGGUUCCAUUCAAAGGGGACAUAUUUCCACGGUUGUUGUGCUGUCCAUGCAGCCUUAAAUGCAUGGGUGACGUUCCUAUAGUGAACGGUAAUGUUUGGGGACGCUUUCGUGGGUGCUGGCACGAAAGGUUCAUGUGGUUGUGUUUUCUGCAGGUACACUAACCACGUUCGCUUAAGAGACGUUACUAGAAUCGACUAGCUAUUAUAAGGAGAGACGUAACUGUUGCCUUGCCACCGGCACUAACUGCGUAAGACCAAAGUUUUGGCAGUUGUUUUGGUUAAGAACGAGGUAGGCCGUGCAUGCGACAUAAGCUAAAAUCUAUAAAGUCACCCUCCUCAGAAGCAACCUUGCUCGGAAAAGGCUCUCCUUCGGUUCUAAGGACUUCUAGUUUUCUUCCAGCUUGUGUUCGGUUAAAAUCCGGAUGCUUUUUCUGUCCGACCCCUUCUCUUCUUAGAGUUCUAUCUCAUGUUGUUUGGUUCUUGGUUCAAGUUGGCCGACCCUGGGUCACGAGGUCGAAUGCGCCCGACCCCUCGAGGCGUUUCUCCGCCUCGACCGACCCUUUUCUUGCGCAGUUUGCUUCGCCGACCCCUUCCUGUGCUGUAUCGUCUAGCCGACCCCUUGGCCUAAGAUUGGAUAUAAUGGAAUUCCUGAAAUCUGGUUAUGGUUCGCCCGAGGUCAUGUGCAGAACUAAGAGAGUUGUUGGCCAAGAUGGCAAGAGGAAGUGUGUGUCUCCUUUAUAAGCUUGUGUGUUUUGCAUUGUCGGCAAGAGUCGCAUUGAGGAUUUAACAUGUGCGUUCCCAUCUGCUUGGAGUACUUCUGAGGUUACGAAAUUAAUGGAACGGCGAUUCUUGCAGAUGGUGCAUCGCACCAGAUCCGGCUCUGUGCCCAGCAGCAGUGAGCAAAGGCAGGAUCUUCCCCCGCCCCCACCUCCAUCUCCGCUGGAGGCGAUCUUAGCGGCUCAAACCGAGCUGUUGAGGCAUCUUGUACAAGGACAACAGCAGCAGCCCCAUGGGGGAAGGGCUCAGCAGCAGCCUCAUGUUGCUCGCUAUGAGGACUUCUUGGGGACGCAGCCCCCUUUGUUCCAGAAGACGCAGGACCCGCUCGACGCAGACGCCUGGGUUCGCGCAAUCGAAUCCAAGUUCGAGCUCCUCACCGCUCCAUGCCCCGACGACAACAAAGCUCGGUUUGCGGCCCAGCAGCUACGUGGUUCCGCCCGGCUCUGGUGGGAUCACUACCACGCCAUGUUGCCGGCCGACCAUGUUGUUAGCUGGAUCGAGUUCAAGACAGCGUUCAGAGGGCAUCACAUUCCGGAAGGUCUCCUGGAGCGUAAACUCAACGAGUUCUUGGCCCUCACCCAAGGAAGCCGUGAUGUCCUGCACUACGCCCAAUCUUUCAAUGAUCUGUGCCGUUAUGCCGGCUAUCAUGCGGACACAGACGAGAAGAAGCGGGACAGAUUCCGCCGAGGUCUAAGUCUGGAGCUCAGAGAAAGGCUGAACCCUAUUAAGGUGGAUACCUACAACGAGUUGGUCAAUCUGGCCAUCUCCCAGGAGGAUUGCAUGCAGGCUCUCAAGGCCGACCAGAAGAGGAAGGCCUCCGUGGCAUUUCCGAGCCAGCCAACUUGGAGAUUCAGGAUGGUUCCUCCACAAGCGCCCAGCCGACCCCAGCAGUCGGGAAGGUGGAUUGCCCGACCCCCGCCAGCAGCAGCACCCCGUUUUCCUGGUUUCCAGCCACAGGCGCCCCGGCCGACCCCACCACCACCACCCCGACCUGCAACCGGUAACUGCUGCUUCACCUGCGGCAAUGAAGGGCAUUUUGCUAGGGACUGCCCCAGGAACAGAAAUCAGCAGCCUGGCCAGAACUCCACGGCGAACAGAGGAAGAAGGCCCAAGGUGCAAAUUCGCCAAGGAUGGCUCAACUACACCAGCUUGACCGAACUCCCCGAAGGUGCGCCAGUGAUGACGGGUACUUUCCUUGUCUUAAAUCAAGCUGUUGUUGUGUUGUUUGAUUCGGGAGCCUCCCAUAGCUUCAUCGGGGGUAAGACUAGAGAAAGAUGUGAGCUGAGUGUCGGUCACACUCAAGGAUCAUAUAUGAUCUCCACUCCGGGAAGGAAGCUAGCCUCAGACCAGAUCGUUACUCUUGUACCUCUCCAGAUAGGCCAAACUCUUUUCAAGGAAAAUCUUAUCAUCCUUGACCUGGAAGGAAUAGAUAUCAUCCUUGGGAUGGAUUGGAUGACUAGACACCAAGUGGUCCUAAAUACAGCCGCCCGAACUCUCUACAUCAACUCACCCUUCCAUGGCAGUUCCACCCUAUCCUUGAAACUUCCUAAGUCCGUACUUCCUUGUGCGUACCCUCUCUCAGAAGCUCGUCUAGAAAGCCUCCCUGUUGUCUGUGAGUACCCUGAUGUGGUCCCAGAGGACUUGCCUGGCAUGCCACCUGAUAGAGACGUGGAGUUUACCAUAGAGUUGAUCCCCGGCACCGCCCCCAUCUCCAAACGGCCCUAUCGGAUGCCACCAGCUGAACUGGCCGAGUUGAAGACCCAGUUGCAUGAUCUAUUGGAAAAAGGUUUCAUCCGACCCAGUGCAUCACCCUGGGGUUGCCCAGCCCUGUUUGUGAAGAAGAAGGACGGGAGUCUACGUAUGUGUGUAGACUACCGACCCCUCAAUGCGGUGACUGUCAAGAACAAGUACCCACUUCCCCGCAUUGAUGUCUUGUUUGAUCAAUUAGCUGGAGCAAGAGUGUUCUCCAAGAUCGAUCUUCGUUCCGGUUAUCACCAAAUCAAGAUCCGACCCUGCGACAUCCCCAAGACUGCCUUCUCCACAAGAUAUGGACUCUACGAGUACUUAGUCAUGUCUUUUGGACUCACAAAUGCACCCGCCUAUUUCAUGUAUCUCAUGAAUUCAGUGUUCAUGCCUGAGUUGGACAAGUUUGUGGUGGUAUUCAUUGAUGAUAUCCUAGUGUACUCGAAGGACGAAGAAGAACAUGCCAAUCAUCUCCAUGUAGUUCUCCAACGGUUGAGAGAUCACCAGCUCUAUGCCAAGUUCUCCAAGUGUGAAUUUUGGUUAGAUAGUGUCAAGUUCUUGGGACACACUAUCUCUCGGAAUGGCAUAGCCGUCGACCCCAGCAAGGUACAGGAAGUCAUGGACUGGAAACCACCCGCCUCAGUGCACCAGAUCCGAAGUUUCCUUGGACUAGCAGGCUACUAUCGGCGUUUCAUACCCGACUUCUCCAAGAUAGCUAAGCCGAUGACAGAGCUGCUGAAGAAAGUGGUCAGAUUUGUGUGGAGCGACAAGUGUGAAGAAGCCUUCAAGACCUUGAAGCACUUGCUAACCACAACCCCGGUUUUGGCCCAACCCGACCCCUCUAGGCCGUAUGACGUAUACUAUGACGCCUCUGGCACUGGACUUGGGUGUGUUCUUAUGCAAGACAACCGAGUCAUUGCCUAUGCCUCAUGGGCGUUACGACCUCAUGAGCUGAACUACCCGACCCAUGAUCUUGAGUUGGCAGCAGUGAUUCAUGCCUUAAAAAUAUGGAGACACUAUCUGAUGGGCACUCACUGCAACAUCUACACCGACCACAAGAGCCUCAAGUACAUCUUCACUCAAACCGACCUCAACAUGCGCCAAAGAAGAUGGUUGGAGAUGAUAAAGGACUAUGAUUUGGAAGUGCACUAUCACCCCGGCAAGGCUAACGUGGUGGCCGAUGCUCUUAGCCGCAAGACCUUUUGCAACUGCCUGUCGGCAACAACCUUCACCGAGACUCUAUGUCAUGAGAUAUGAAAACUCAGUUUGGAAAUUGUUUCCCAUGGAACCCUCGGCCACAUAUCUCUUGAGUCUGUUCUAGAAGACCAAAUUGGUUCAGCCCAGUUAGAGGAUGAGGAAGUAAGGCGGAUCACCAGGAAGAUUUCAUUGAAGGAUGAAGGGUAUAAGCAGUUUCGACAGGACGAAACUGGGAAAGUGUAUUAUGGAAACCGACUGGUUGUACCAGCCGACCCCAACUUGAGGAAGCAGAUCCUAGAUGAAGCUCACCUCUCCAAGUUCUCAAUCCACCCAGGCAGCAAUAAGAUGUACCAUGAUCUCCGUCAAACCUUCUGGUGGAGUGGAAUGAAGUCGAAAAUUGCCCGGUAUGUUUCAGAAUGUGACACCUGCCAACACGUCAAGGCCAGCCAUCUAAAGGUAGCAGGUACCCUGCAGCCCCUACCUAUUCCCUCUUGGAAAUGGGAAGACAUCAGCAUGGACUUCAUAGUUGGACUGCCCCUUACAUCACAGCGACAUGACUCCAUCUAGGUUAUAGUGGACCGCCUGACCAAGUCUGCCCACUUCCUUCCUGUCCACACCACUCACAUGGCCAAGAAGUAUGCGGAGUUGUAUCUUGACCGCAUUAUUUCCCUACACGGUGUGCCUAGGACGAUCAUUUCUGAUCGAGGAGUUCAGUUCAUAGCACGCUUUUGGGAACAGCUACAAGCAUCAAUGGGCACCAAGCUCAUCCGAAGCUCAACCUAUCAUCCUCCAACCGAUGGUCAAACGGAAAGAGUCAAUCAAAUCCUUGAAGACAUGUUGAGAGCUUGUGUCAUCCAUUAUGACAAAAAUCGGGACAAGUGCUUGCCCUUGGCGGAGUUCUCCUACAACAACAGCUACCAGGCCAGUUUGAAGAUGGCACCGUUUGAAGCCUUAUAUGGCCGCAGAUGUCGGACACCUUUGAAUUGGUCACAAACUGGAGAAAGACAGAUCUAUGGCCCUGACUUAGUGGUAGAAGCCGAAGAGCAAGUAAGGGUAAUUCAAGCAAAUCUCAAGGUUGCCCAAUCUCGACAGAAGAGUUACUCCGACAGAAGAAGAAGACCCCUGCAGUUUGACAUUGGUGAUCGUGUAUAUCUUCGAAUCUCCCUGACCAAAGGAGUGCAACGGUUUGGAAUGAAAGGUAAAUUGGCUCCCCGUUACAUUGGCCCGUAUGAAGUUGUGGAGAUUUGUGGACCCGUGGCCUAUCGGAUCCAACUCCCAGAACAGCUCUCGGGCAUACAUGAUGUUUUCCAUGUAUCUCAACUGAAGAAAUGUGUCCAAGUCCCAACCGAGAUCUUAGAGCAAGAGCAGCUUCAGAUCGAGCCCGACCUAACCUACGCCGAGUACCCAGACAGAGUUCUUGACCAGAAAGAGAGACAUACCCGGCGCCAAGUGGUUAAAAUGUACAAGAUCUUAUGGAGCAACCACACAGAGGAUGAAGCAACAUGGGAAACAGAAGAAUAUUUGAACAAGCACUUCCUAGGUUUUCUGUCUCAUCAAGGAGGUAAGGACUGUGCACCUUACUCUUACACCUGAAUCUCGGGACGAGAUUCUUUUUAAGGGGGGUAGGCUCUGAUGACUAACCCCAAAUCUCUCGAGUUAAUCUUAAUCUAAGUCCCUAAUCACGUCUCAGCUUUAUCGAGUUUAAAUACUCAACCUCCAGUCCGGACCCGACCCCUUAGACCCGACCCCUCUCCACUGGCCUCCAGUUCCGACCCCGCCAACCCCAACUCACCCGCCAGAUUCUUCUAAGUCUUUCCCCAACACCUCCCUUCAAUCUGACCGAUGGACCCACGAGAUCUUUUUCCCACAGAUCUUCCACGACAGGCGCACUCGAGUUGCAUGCCCGCUUCAGAGUUCCCCCGCCGCGUGGCUCAACUCCUCCGACACCCGCCGCUCCGCCUCGCCUUCGGCCCGCGACCGGAUAGUUUCUCGCGCCCUUUUCCCCAAUCGCAGUGGAAGCUCCUCUGCUACUCUUUCUGCAGCGCCUCGCAGCCCGCGCCCAUCAUCAUGUCGCCAGAUCCCGGCUGCAAGGCCCGAGGUCUCCCGUCUUUUCCGUAGCCCUUCCACAGUCGCGCCGCCCAGGUCCGCGCUACGCGAUGAUUCCUCCUCCGCCAACCCCGGCCCUGGCCGCGACAACUCCUUUCCUGCCUUGUCAGCGCGGCGCUCUGACGGUCUGUUGCUUCGCGCUCGCCCGCGCGACUGCAGCCCACCUGUCGUCUCAACUGAGCAACCUCGCUCCUAGCGCCGUUCCCCCUGUCACAUCCAUCAUAUCCGUCGCACGACGACGCCCGCCUCCGCCAAAUCUCAACCACCGGCAAACCCGCGCCUGCGCCGCCCUGACGCCAGUACCCAAUGACCGCCAGCGUCAUCCCCGGAGUCCUGCUCCACCACCCUCGUCGCUCAAUCGCCGCCCGGGCAGAGCACUCCAUUGCUUCUUCCCCGGCCUUCGCGCCGCUCCCCUUCUCACUCCCGCGCCGCUAUAAAAGGGAAUGCGCAAGCCCCACCGGACUUUUCCCUUGCCCUAGCUGCCAUCUCCCUUGCUCCUCUGCUUCGUGCUCAAAGCGCUACAGCCUAAGUCCCUGAGGAACUCUCCUCUCCGCUCCACACCGCUCUCCCCCAAUCCACCCAGCCGCUUGCUCCUCCGUGCUGCGUAAGAGCUUACUUGUGAUCCACAGGAAGCACCGCCGCCGCCGGAGCACCGUCGGACAUCUCCGCCGCCAGUCUUAGUGUUCCAGUCCCUCCGCCCAAUCCUGCUCUUUCCCGACCCCAAGCCUUCCUUGUAAGACGAAGGUAAGCUGCUGAUCCCUUUUCCGCCUCGUCCGACCCUCCUGUUCGUCCGAUCCCUUUUCCACCUCGUCCAACCCUUCUGUUCGUCCGAUCCCUUUUCCGCCUCGUCCGACCCCUUGUCCGCCUCGUCCGACCCUUCUGUUCGUCCGACCCCUUGUCCGCCUCGUCCGACCCUGUCUAUUCUGCCGACCCUUGUCCGCUUCGCCUGACCCCUCUUAUCCACCCGACCCCGGUUCCAUCUCGCCCGACUCUGUCUGUUCCGCCGACCCUCCUCCGCCUCGCCCGAGGACUCGGCUGUAUUCUUUUUCUUCAAACCGAGGGUGUAUGUGUAAAACUUGGGGACCCUUCAGCGUUGAGUCUGAGGACCCCUAGCACAGCUAUUCCUCUAGAUUAAGGGUCAGAUCAUAAGUUCCCUUCCUCCGACCCUUACCUCUUGAUCUCCACCCACUCCUUUGAACCUCCCCGCCCUCCUGUAACUUGUCGCAAGUUGCUAGGCUCAGACUUGCAAGUGUUGCUGUUGAUUUAACCGUCUAAAUGCUAACCCAUGCAUUGCAUUCGUGUAGAGCUGCGUCUCGCCGACGGCUACUACGAGCUGCACCCGGUGCCAGAAGACGACGGUGUAGCUGAGCUCCUGCCCCCAGAAGCCGAAGCUGCCCCAGAAGUCGAGCAGUUCCCUUCCUCUUUGCUCGAAGGCAAGCCCCGGAUGCAUGAAUCCCCCUAUGUUUUACCAAACUUGCGCAUGCUUUCUGCAUCUUGCUUGUGCAUUUACGUAUAGGAGUUGUUUGGAACCAUAGAUGUAUAACUUAGACCCCAUGAUCUGAACACUAGCUGUUGGACCGAGUAGCUGCUUUGCUUAAAUAGGAAGUGGUAAAAGUCGAGUGAUUUCCUGUCACUCGCGAGUUGUAGGAGUUGGUUGUUUUCCUCCUGUCACAACUAUAAGGACGAUGGACGGGGCAGGGUUUUGGUUAACUUUUUGGUGGACGGUUGAUUGCCCCGUCUGUCUAUGAAUUUUGCUAAGGCCCGACAGUGGUGGUGUUCGUGAUCAAGUGUUUGAAAGUACUAACCUCAUACUUAUUAUGGGAUGAGGAAGCCGAGUACCGGAUUGAACCUAGACGUGAGCGGUCGCCCCAUUGUUCUUGGAACGGAGUUUCCCCUGCUGGUUGUCGCACGUGGUGGUAAGCGUGGUCACAGGACAGCAGAGGCCGGGUCUGUGGAACCUUGCACCAAAGGAAAUGGGCCCGACACGGGUUAGGGGAUUGAUGGGGAAGGCCGACACAGGAAGCGACCUCAGUGGUGCGCGGAUAUCGUGAGGUUAGGUUCGCCAUGCAUGGUUAAAGAACUCGAAUCGAUUCGUCUGACUCUCACAGUUUGAGACUGCUUGAUCGCUAUGCUACCCUGAGUAAGAAAGAAAUAUGAUGAUGACAUGGUCUUGAUGAUAUAUAUAUAUACCUUUUGGUUGGUUCUAUGUUUGUUUAGAGUAAGUUGCUAACUUAGACCGGAUAAUGAACCUAGAACCUGAGCUAAAACUUGAAAAUAGGGAUCUACAUAGUGCUUUUGGCAAACAAAACCCUCAGCCAAAGAGCCUGGCAUGUCUAGAAAGGUGGAGUAGCUUUACUCCUGUCGGUUAAGUCUUGUUGAGCUUAGUAGCUCAGCCUUGUUGUGGCUCUUCUUUUUCAGGUGAAGUUGCUGUUUCUGAGUCUCCUUCUGCUGGCACUUGGCCGCCCCAACUCCCUCCAGGUUGGACGGUUGAGUGGGAUCCCUCCUCUGACGGCGAGGAGCGGGAUCACUGACGUCUUGGCUGGCCUCACCAAGGACGUCCGACCCCCUGCGUUUAGCUUCCGCUUGCUGUUUUACCUUCUGUUGUUUCUGUUGAACCUUGUAAAACUCUGAUGUUGUUUUAUAACCAAAAUAAUUGGUUAAGUUGUUUAACUCGGUGGACUUGUUGUAUUCUCUGGAAUCACUCACCUUCGUGUGAGUUUGCUAAUUCGGUCCUGUUCAAGUGGUUAAAUCGGAUGAAAUCCGACGGCACUUCGUGUUAACUUGGCUAAGGCAUCGGUGUCGCAUGUUAGACGACUUAACCAUGUCUAAUCAAGCUAAUCCGAAGUGGAUCCGCCACAUGAAGGUCUCUUCCAAGUUUGUGAUGAGAUCAUUUGGAUUUCUGGUUUUGACUACCACGUCAUCCACGUACGCUUCCACGUUGCGGUGGAGUUGUUUCUCAAAGCACAUCUGGGUGGUGCGUUGAUACAUUUCUCCUGCGUUCUUCAACCCGAAGGACAUUGUUUUGUAGCAGAAAGCUUCAAAAGGGGUGAUAAACGCAGUUUUGGCUUGGUCUUCUUCCUUGAGGGCUAUCUGGUGGUACCCCGAGUAGCAGUCCAGGAAGCAGAGUAAUGCGCAUCCAGCUGUAGAAUCGACAACUUGAUCAAUCCUUGGAAGCCCGAAGGGGUCCUUAGGAUAGUGCUUGUUGAGGUCUAUGUAGUCCACACACAUUUUCCAUUCAUUGUUAUUCUUCUUGUGGACUAGGACUGGGUUGGCGAGCCACUCAGGAUGGAAAACUUCUUUUAUGAAGCCUGCCGCGAGUAGUUUUGCUAGCUCUUUCUUGAUGGCUUCUCGUCUGUUCUAGGCAAAUCUGCGUAGUUGCUAUCUCUUUGGAGUAGCAUUAGGAUCUACGUUGAGUGAGUGCUCGAUCAACUCCUUUGGCACACCUAGCAUAUCUGCCGGUUUCCAUGCGAAAAUGUCUCGGUUUGCCCGAAGAAAGCUGACAAGCGCGCUUUCCUAUUUGGCAUCAUGCUCUAUGCCAAUCAGGGCUGUCUUGGAGGAGUUGCCGGUCUCAAGGUCGAUGGCUUUGAACUCCAUGUCACCUGCCAGCUUGACCUUAGUAGUCCCCGACUUGUUCUCCGCGAUUUCAAGUUCCAUCAGGGAGAGCUUCUUUGAAGCAAUGAAGACUUGUUACAUCGAGCUGGGUACUUGAGUAGUCACCGCCAACUCAACAGCUUCUGUGUCACAUUCGUAUGACCUUCGCAAGUCUCCACGGAGGAAGAGUACUCCCUUGGGUCCUAGCAUUUUCAGGAGCAGGUAAACAUAGUGUGGGAUUUCCAUGAAUUUAGCUAGUGCUGGUCUUUCGAGGAUAGCAUGAUAAGAAGUUUCAAAGUCCGCCACUUUGAACCGAAUGUAUUCUAUCCGGUAGUGUUCUUUAGUUCCGAAGAUAACCGGUAGACUACUUGUCCAAGUGGUAUAGCUGCGUUGCCUAGGACGAUCCCAUAGAAUGGAGAGUUCUUUGGGGUGAGCAUGUUAGUAAUGUCGAGGCCCAUCUUCCUUAGGGUUGUGGCGAAAAUGACAUUGAGGCCACUGCUGCCAUCGAUGAGUACUUUGGUGAGUCUUGAGCCAGCGACAACUGGGUCCAGGAUGAGGGGGAACCGUCCUGGUUCUGAGAAACUUGUCCAUUGAUCUUUCCUAGAGAAGUUAAUCUACACCUCGGACCACUUGAGGGGCGUAGGGGUAGCGGGCUCAAUGGACAUGAUCUCUUUGAGUACUAGUUUCUAGGAUCGCUUAGAGGAAGUGCUUGGGAUCCCGCCAAAGAUGACGUUGACGGUCUUGGAUGGGGUCUGGAACUUAUUUUCGCCAUCUUUGCCUUCGUCUACCUUAGCUUUUCCCUUGACAUUGUUAUUGUUCGGGGGUUCUGGCAAAUCUUUCAUUACCCUGCAUAGACGGUAGCAAUCUAUCGCGGCGUGCUUGCUGUGCGGAUGCUACGGGCAUUGCUUCUUCAGCAGCUUGCUGAAUGCGGGUCUAUCUUCAUUUCUGUUAGACCCUUUGUUACUUGAGUUCGUCAUUGCUGUGAUGGUAUUAUCAGGCUUGCACUUGCGGUUUUGGUUGCCCGAGUAGUUAUUUCAGUGGUCGCCGUUGCGGUUUCUGUCUUGCUUUUAGUUAUUGCCGUGAUUAUUGUUGUUGUCACGACCGCGAUUGUGAUUUGAGUCAAACCUCUCGCGUUCUUUAUCCUCCUCAUCUACCCAUGACUGGGCCAUUAUCUUGAGUGCCUUGACAUCCGCGGGACGAUGCCUACUGAAGUCUUGGUACAUGCGGUGAUCAUAGAGGCCGUUCUAGAAGGAUGCUAUCAUGUCUAGUUCUGAGAUGUCCACAAUUGUGGCCUUUUUGUCAAAGAAAUGAUGUAGAUAGCUGCAUAGUGACUCAUCUCGUUGCUGCUUGACUUGUGGCAAGUCGAUCCUGUUAUCGGGGCGUUGCAUUGCCCCUGCGUAGUUGCUAGUGAAAGCUCAUUUCAAGUCUUGCCAGGAGUUGAUGGAAUUGGGCUUCAAGCAUUCGAGCCAGGUCAGUGGCGUAGUUUCCAUGCUUACAGAAAAGUUGUCGUUGUCAAGAUUUGCGGAUCAAGACUUAGACUAGUAAAUUUCUUUUAUGCGCGUAAGGCUUCGGAUGGUGGCGUGGGAGACACGGGGUUAGACUGGUUCGGGCAAAGGAACGCCCUACGUCCAGUAUCGGGAGCUGCUCGUGUUAUCCACGCGGGGUUCUGUAGUAGGGGUUACAGGAGUGCGAGAGAGGGAUCUGAUCCCAGGUCUCUUGGGAGUGCACUGAUGCUCUAAGUGGGUGUGAGUGUGUUCUCUCUUCUCCCCCCGAGUCCCCUAUCUCAGGACCCCCGGUCCUCCUUUUAUAGCGCAAGGGGGAGCUCGGGGUUACAGUUGAGCCAGGCGUGAGGAGAAGUAAAAAAGAUAAGCUAAGUAAAAUGCAACAUAAGGGGAGGGACCCGAGGCCGCCGUCCCUCGCUCCGGCCUCCGGCCCCUGUCAGCGCGUUCGUCGAGGGAGGGCGGCUUCCUCCAGAUCCUGCUAUCGAGCACGAUGAUGAUGUUCAGCCUUGGCAUCUAUGCCCGCCGGGGGAUGGUCGAUUCUGUUAUCCCGCUGAUCACCCGGGAGACACGGACGUCGCAUCCCUGUCAUCGGGAGCACGGGGUGCGAGAACGAGCAGGACGCCUUCCUAUGCCGGCCGGCGCGGGCCAUGAGUACCCUGCAGCGAAUCAGAGGGAGCCACGGUCACUGCAGCUUGCGCCGCACGGUCGCGCAUGGGUAUUCGUGACAGGUUGCGUUGGGGGCGCCACCCCCUUUCUGCAUGCCAGGGCCGCGGUGCAUUUAUGGUGAGGUCGAUAGGGGGACCCACGAGAUCAGCACCCUGAUCCUCCAAUCUGCGCCCGAGGCGGAUAUCUGUCCUGAGGACCCGAACGAGUCUGACCCCCGCACCCAGGGUCGGGCAAGGCGGAGUUUUGCGGCGGAGGUCGGGCACUCCCAACCCCGGUCCCCUGGGUCGGGCGAGGUGGAGUUUUGUCUUCAAGGGGUCGGGAAUGUCCGACCCCGUGACGUCGGGUCGAGCGAGACAGAACGUGGCCUCUCCCUCCCAUAUUGGGCCGACGGCAAUCUCGCUACCGUAGGUGGGCCUGGACCUUUAUUUUUUGUUUUUUCCAUGGGCUUGGAGAGAUCGCUAAUAUUUCUCCCCAACAAAAGUAGAUGACCUUUGUGUCGUCAGCCCCCGCUACAGCCUGGACCGCCAGUGAGUAGCAGCAGAGCCACUGAACUGGAUCUUGUUUGCCAUCGUACUUGAAGAUACCCAAAGGUUUGAAUUUCUCUGGUAAGAUUGUGUUCCUAACCCAUCUUGUAAAGGUGGGAAAGUGAUCAUUGUCAUCACCCCUGUAGUCUUCUUCAAGUUCAUGCUCCCGAUGGCGGUUGUUGAUGAUGUUGCGUGCAUCACGGUUGCUGUUGAUUUUAUUCCUGAGAUCACCAUCGAUGAGUGAGGGUACGGGGUCAGCUCUAUGGUGGCGAGCGCCUCCCCUAGAAGCUGUUCGACUACCCUCAGGCGCACUCUGUGUUGUCUUGGGCUUUCGAGUACAUCUCUAUUUUGCCUCGGAGCCCCAAUUGCGCCCCCGUGUUGUUUGGCGUUUUCGCGUGGUCGAGCUGAAGGUCCUGCGUGGUCUCUGCUGCUGCCAUACUGACUACGCCCAGAUGGGGUGUGAGGUACUGAUGGGAUUGGAGUCGCUCUGUCGAGUAGUUCAUAGGCGUGUUCUGCCAACUGUGCUAUCAGAGUAUUGUACUUGUCUUGAGGCAUAGCACGAGUGAUGAGGUCGAUGGAGGCAAUAGUGGCGAGUGGCGUAUUAUGUUGUCGUGUUUGCACUACUUCGAGUGCUCUAUCAAGGUUCAUAAUUGGGAGCUGGGCAGCUAGCUGAAGAUGUCGUUCUGCUCUCUGCGCAUUUCUUGCCCUCCGCCGAGUCCUUUGGCUUUCAGUUUCUUCAACGACGUUGGUAGAUAAUUCAUAUUGUGAGACAUCAUCUAGGUGAUGCUCUCGUCGGGGGGGUUCUUGGGUGAUGUUUUUCACCUUCUUCCCCGUUUGUGAUUAAAGCGAAGAGUUCUCUUCCUGGAGUAUAGCUGCCAGAGCUUGAGGUGAUGACUUCUGUGGAGCCAUCUUCUUCAUAGAUUGGUGACAAGGGUGUUCCUUCUUGGCAUGGUAGGAUCUCAAGAUUGGCGAUCAUCCGUGACUCAUCACUCUGGUCAAGGAAGGACGGCUUCAUGCCUGACCAGUAAACGAAUCUGCCUUGGGGUGUUGAAGUAAUCACCAGGCCCUACUGCAAACCUAAUAAAGGAAUUUCUUCGAUGGAAUCCGAGUAGAAGUCGAGGUUGUGGUCCUCAAUCACCUCCAAUCUGGAUUGUGGCUUGGAUAAAGCUACUUUAUAAACCAGAGCUGCGUUUCGGAGUCCAAACGGGAAUUGACUUGGAGUUUGAUUUGAUUCGCACGAUGGCUUGUUUGCUUGCUCGUGGGAGCCCGUCCAAGUUGUUAAAGAGUCCAAGUUGUACUCGAGCUUGCUAUUUGUCAGAUUGAAAAUUUUACUGAAUUUCUCGACGAAAUCAUACGUAGCUUGUCGACGAAGGGUGACGUUGAGUUGCUUCUUCUCCGUGGCCUCUGCGAUGUAGCGGUGGGAACCUCCAACGCCAUUGGCGAUGCAGACCCAGGAGUCGAAGACGAACAUCGCGCCGGCUUCGAACGCAAUCAUAGGCUUGAUGAUGAUUUGAGCUAUCGAACUCGCCUGGAGAAUUUUGGCGAUUUCCCUUACCUGGCACGCCAGCUGUCGGUAUUUUAUACCCGGCAACCUACCAAGAGAGUACCCGAGGUAUAGUUUUGGUUGGUGGGUGUCGCCAAAAUCAGGAGCUCGAUGGUGUACGUAGGCACGCAAUUUAGAUAGGUUCGGGCUGCUAGAUCGUGUAAUACCCUAUGUCCUGUGUGUUGUUCACUUGUAUUGGUUCGAACUUGUUUUUGGGGGGGGUCCCUGCCUGCCCUUAUAUACCGGGGGAGCAGGGUUACAUGGUAGUUGUUUUAUAGGAGUACUAGUCGGAUAUGACUACAGAGUUCUAGUCUAACUCAGAAGAGUAGUUUCUUUAUCUAUGACUAGUCUCCUGGUAGUCCAUGUAGACUACACCACACUGUAUCGUAGUCUCCAUGUUCUGGUGCGUCUCGGUGUCAAACCUCUUGCUACAAUUUUGUCACGUCACCAGCAUUUUCAUCUGACUUGGCAAUUUAUGAUGAGAGAACCGUCAGAUGAAGCCUGUCGUUUUCACCUGUGUGGAUGUAUGUCAUUGCGUUUACAAUCAUACUUGGAUGGGUGACUCUACUUCCUUCUGUCCAUGCAACAACACUACAGCGUACGCUGAUAUAAUACUCUCAACCAGCUCACAGUUAAGAGUAAGUUUUCACAAUGGGUUCAGUUUAUCUGGUUACUAUUUGAUUUCAUCUGUACAAGUGCCUUAAAUGGUGCUGCUGCAGUCCAUACUCAUACAUGCACACAGAAUAUCUUUUUGUGUGACUCACUGAUGAAGUAGUAAGAAAUAGAGACAGCAGUUGUACUGUACAAUGGAAACAAAAGCAGAAAAGGAAAAGGGUCUAACUCUUCUCCAGGCAAAAGAAAGAAAACUACAUCUACUCCAGAAAAUUUAGUUCGGGCUUAUUCAUCUUAGCUCACCUUGUUAUGUCCCAACUUGCAGUUGCACUCCCCAGUUCUCAGAAUUCAAUGUAUAAUUCUCGUCUGUUGAACAAUGAACAUCAAGAGUGAGCAAGGGCUUUGGUCCACAACAGAAAAAUGUGAGGAGACUCCUACCAAUAAAUCGAAGAAGCGACUGUCCACUAUGGAUAUAAUCAAGGCAAGGAAAGAAACAAAGACAAAGAACUUCAGAUAAAUAAGUGCGCAAUAACUUAUUCGUGUAAGUUUUCCAUAAAAAUUAAAAAGAAUGCAUCCUGUUAGAAGGCAAGCUAUAUGCUUGAGCGAUUCCACACCCUGAAUUAAAGAAAAAUGUGUUUGAACUGAAGUGGGGAUUCCAAUAAAUGCAUUUGUUUCUCUGUGAGUAGGAUUAUCACGAACUAAUCAAAUUGUAUUAAAAAAAUGGACUUGUCUUAGUAAACCUCGUAGGCGCUCAAUUACUUGAUCAAUGUCCUGUUUAGUGCAGACCAUACCAAAGAAAUGAUGCCAAUAAGGCACCGAGAUGAUUGAACCAUAGCCUAUCAAAGCUCGGGUACAAGCUCGGGCACAAUUUCUCCCGGAGUUACUUGUCAAUUUCUGGGCAAUUAAGCAGGCUUCGUGGCUACCAACAAUCGAAGGUCCUAUUUUCAAUGAGCUACGGGCCCUAUUUUUUUACAUAUAUUUCUAAUUUUUAUGUCUAUCAAAAGUUCUAGUCCCGUGUGGAAGAAUCUAUCCGUUACGUCUACAUGCUGACACGCCUUAAGUUAGUAUUUUUUAUUAACAAUAACAUAAAUAGGUAAUUAGAAUCACAUAUUAGGUUUUUUUGACGUUUCUAAUGAACUUGCAGAUAAUUAGAUUAAGAUUUAGGUGUUUAAUUUAGGCUCCCUCCAUUCUCUUUUAAUAGAGAUAUUUCUAAAAAUUAGAUUUUGAUAGUCCUAUCUGCCAUUGACGUGGACCGUGUCAAUAAAUUGCAUAGAUAACGAGAAGUCAUUAAGACAAAUAUUGGAGGGCUAAUGUGGCCGUCCGACUUAAAUUCGGAACAGUAAUUAUUCAUACGCACCUAAAAUAGUUUAACCGGUAGUCCGUCUAGUUUCCCCGGGACAACCGAAAUCAUCCACAUAUAACUUGAAUCUUAGCCAUACAUUAGGAUCGCUUCCACGAAAGGAAAGCAUCAAUAAACAUUACCUUUUUACAUAAUUACUGAGGGUAUGAAUUAUUACAAACCAUAGGUUGACAAUCAGUUAAACUAAUCUAAGAGCUUCAAACUAAAACAAGCCUGGGAAGUAAGUAGUUAAACAACUAAUUCCAACACUAGGGCAUUAUAAGACUCGUAAAAGAUCCUAGUUCUUCGGACCUUCCUCUUCACCAGCCUGCUGUUGCAUGACUGAAAACAACAAAAGAGGAUUCCCUGAGUAUGAAUGUACUCAGCAAGACUUACCCGUCUAACCAAUAUAGAUAAACAAUAAAGUUUCAAGAAGUAUGAUAGCCUUUUAGUGUACUAGCUGACUCAACAUUUCUGCGAAAAGCUUGCUACCGGUGGAACCUUAAUUUUGUUAUUUUAACCACAAUUAGUUCUUAUCCAGGUGAAUAAAAUAUUUUGUUCAAUCAAGUGGAACUAAACAUCAUACAUCAAUAUUAAUUCAAGGAAAACAUCAUAUUGAACUUAUUUACUCUACGAUGUUUAAGCGAUGAUCGAGUGCAUUCAUAACCAAGAAGUGUGACGAUCUGGACCGAUUUACAUUCUGCAGGAGAUACCUAAUCACCAGCCAUGCACAACUGCGUGGGUUGCACAUAACGACCUUUCAAUUAACCGUACCCAAAUAUUGUGAACAUAAUUAUCCGAACCCUAGGAUGCACCCACGCAUGGGACCCCACGUCUGGCCUGAUCUCCAUGUGAGUUUCAGGCUACGCCCCUGCCUUUCUUCCGCACGCCAAGCAUGGGUGAGGAUAUUUCCAAUCAAAUAGCCAACUAACCACCUGCUUUCUUCCGCAUGCCUAGCAUGGGUAAGGAUAUUUCCAAUCAAAUAGCCAACUAACCUACCGGGCUUACUGGUUCCCAAUGGCAGUAAGCAACCAGGUAAUAUCACUUGAUCAAAAGUUAAGACAAUGAACAAGCCUUAAUCCAUUAAUCCUAGUGGAUAGAACUACCAUCUCUAGCUUAUGUCCACAUCUUUAAAAUUCAAAGUCAUUUCCUUGAUCAAGAUGUAUGAUAAUAUUAACCUUAAGUGGUUGAGCAACAAAGUUACUCAAAAGUGAAUCUAAGCAUUACUAAGCAUAGGAUGGUUACUAAUUAUUGAAUAGGUGGCAAAGUUAUCCUACAAACAAGGUUGGAUUAUGCAUAAGAGUAAGGUUUCAAUCAACUCCUAGACUUAAUGCAUAAAUAAGGAAAUAACCAAUAAUUUGGACACAUGAAUAGCAAUUUCUGAAAUUAGAUAGGUGCAGAUGCUCCAGGGCUUGCCUUGGUUAAAAAAAGUAAGUUCCUUUGGGAGAUCCUUCACCACAAGGAAGGACCUCAAUAACCUCCUCGAAUUCUUGAGGUUCUUCAGAGAAAAUCCAAGAAAUCCACUUCAGGAGCUUAGGUUCUACGAUAUAAUGCCUACUAAAGUUAGAAUAUGCAAAACUUUUUGAAACAAAGACUACACAACUUAUCUUCAUCAUAAAGUUGCAAGUCAACACCAAUCUACCCAUAAAAGACUAACCCUCAAUUUAUUUCUUACUAAACUAAUCUUAAUUAUUUUAAUUUAUUAUAAAAGGGGUUAUUAAAUAAUUACUGAUCUCAAAACCUAAUUCCUAAUUGUUAUUGAUUUCUAAUUAAUAAAUCAUUAUUCAGAAUUUUAUACAUUUUAUAAAUAUUAAGUAUUUAUCUAAUACCUUAAAUAUAAGGUACUAAAUAAACACCUAAUUUUUAUUACUUUUCCUAAGGUUUAAGAAUUUUAGUGCAUAAAUAAAAAUAAAAUAAACCUAACAAAAUUGGUUUCACUAUUUUUGGAAAUUUCUAUAAAUUCUGGUGAAUUAAAUAAGAAACUGGACUUAAUCUAAUAUCUAAAACACCCUAAACUCAUUUUCCAACAAAACCCCUUGGAAAACCCUAUUUUCACUCGGUCUCUACCUAGCCGCUGCAACAGACACGCGGGCCCGGUCAACAAACGCCACCUCCGGUCUUGACCACGGGUGCCCGAGCGGGUAACGGCGCUAGCUCGCUGCCGGUGGCCUCGUCGGCGACGAGGGCUAGCUGGCUAGCUUCCCUAGGUCACUGCGCAUCCACGGGUGGUGUUGUUGGGGUGGUUAAGCUAGCGGCGGCGAAGAACGGCAGUGACCGGCGGCGGAGCAGGCGGCGCUAGGGUUAGCGGCGGCGACGGCAACGACUCCCCGGCAACAAGCGACACGUACGGCUCGUGCGUGACACAACUAGACCCUCAGGGGACGCUUACAGCUAGGGCAAGGUGGUGCUCACCGGUGGCGGCUUGGCAAAACAGAGACGGCGGACUGACGUGACGAGGAUGGCGUCCAGGACGGCCUUGCCGGUGUUGGAGGUCUCGGUGGACUGCGGAGUGGAUUUGGAGCUGUGGUGCGAAGGAAUCGGCUGACGGUGGAUCUCAGCUCACGGAUUUCAUGGGCGGCUUGAGUUCUGCUCUGUUCUUGCACAGGCAAAAGGAAGCAAGGCAAAGCUGCGACUCUGCUCAAAACUUGUGCCAGGGUAUAGACGACGGUGCCAACAGUGUGCCUGAGCUAUUCGUGCUGGGGCUGCUUACGAGGCGGUGGCGAGGCCAUGGACAGCAAGAAAUGCAGGGAUGCAGUGAAGCUCACGCACAUGGCCAGAGCGCCGUGCUUGACAAAGGCAGACGCGCGAGCGAAAGAGAGGGAUUGGCCAGCGGCACAGAGCAACGACGAGCUGGGGAACCUGAUGAGCUGCUGUCGGCGAGCUAUGCUCAAAGAUGCACCGAGGAACAAAGAAAAAUAAGGCCAGCAGUCUUAGGCAUAUAUAGGCGAGCGCGACGUCGGUGACCGGUGCCAGCAGCUGCUUGCAACGUGUUGUGCUGGAGCAUUCUCUGGUUGCGUGGCAAAGCAAGGAGAGGCGGCGGGGCAACGGCGGUCAAACGAACACUGCUCGGCGUUCAAGUUAAGCGACAGCGGAGGCACGUCGGUGACCAAGUAGACAAGCUGCUGAUGCUGCCGGGCUGCAGACUUCAAAUGUGCAUAGAAAACCAGCCCCUUCUUUGAUUAAAUUCGUCCAAACCAAACCCAACUUGUCAUGAACCUAUAACCAACGUUGGAGCUGGCAUAAACAGCUACAAGUGAUAGAUAGCACUUUUGUUCCAAUGAUCAAAGGAUUUGGAGAUACAAAUUUCUGAACUUCAGUGCAAAUCAAUAGCUCUUACUGUACUUUCAGGAUACUCUGUCAGUUAUAUAGACCAUGCUGAAACUGUGUACGGUUUAAUCUUUGGCCUCCAAAUUAAAUAUCCAAACUCAGCUUUGUUCGUCCAAUGACUACUGAAACUUGUUGACCUCAUUUUAGAGAUUCCAUUUUUCAUGAUCUUGUCCAGUCUCUACAUAUAGAAAUCUUUAAAAAAUUGAUCCAAAGUGGGCCACUGAGCACUGAUUUCAGAGCUAAUGGCAAUUGCCAUUCAGUUUCGACAGAGAGCUCCACCAGUGUGAACUUUCAAAAUUUGAGCCUCAUUUUAAAAUUGAAAUCUCUCUUUUCCUUAUCCAACAACAUGUCCAAAAUAUUCACUAAUCAUCCAAGUAUACUUAUGGUCCAAAACAUCCCACAGCUUACAUGAAAAAUUCUUCAGAAACCAAUUUCAAAGUUGGCUACUUGCCACUGUUUUAGACUUGGAGAAAUUUUCAGGUUUUGAAUAGUGAUCCAAGUCAACAACUUUGACUACGCAUUUGAGAUGCCAAUGACUUGAAUUUGAUCCCAAACUUGAUCCCACUGAGUUCAAAACACUACCAACUUAUGAUUCCAGGUUUGACUCAAAUUUUUCCAAAUUUGAAUCUUUAAUUUGAAUUUUUGGUCAAAUUUGUCUCAAAUUCGAACUUAGCUCAUAAUACUUCUUUUUAACCCAAAUUUCAUCAUCAACCUCUUAAUAACCUUCUUAGGCUUUUAAUAACAUUGGGUGUUACAGCUAGCUAAUGAGAAAAAUACUAGUUUGCAUUUAUUAGAUGAUAAGUAGGGUUGUUUUCCUUGGUCAUUGUGUCAAGGUGAAAUAUCCCUAUCAAAAGAGAAUAGAGGGAGUACAUCAGUAAUUAAGAUACAAUUGACCAAUGGCUAUAAUUAUUAGAGUCUAUAUGAUUGACGCUGGGAUGUUUCUGAUUUUUUGGUAAUUUUUAGAAUUUAUCCUUUUUUUCCUAGCACGACUCAUGAUAAUUUAUGUGAAGUCUCGUUUGAAAAAAUGAGGGCGCAUAGCUAACAGUCAAACCUGCUACUUUAAACUUUCUCAUUUGUUAAACAUUCUAAUGUAUGGAUAUAUGCUUAUUAUCUUCAUCCAAUUGUGCAUUUAUAAUUUUUCUUUUUGUCACUUUGUAUCGCGGAUAUGCGCUUAAAUUUAUUUAAUGGAUCCUAUGUUUGAACUACAUUUUUAACAUGGAAAUCUAUAUUCUCCACUUCCUUUGGUUCGGCAGGGGGCUCCCCGCCGACAGCAGCGCGGAGUGGAAGAAGCUCGCGGCGACAGGCGUCGGCGGCGUACUGGCAUACUGCACCAACUCUACGGUGCCGUGCGGUCCGUUCCUGUUCAUAUACAAACUCUGAUGAGUAGUACAAUCUACCGGCGUUGCCAUGAUCCAAGGAAUUUAAGUCUACCAGGGGCGUCAAUUGUUUGGGGCCUAUUUAGGACACAAUAAUUCUGUAGUAAGAUUUUCGCAGGAAUUUCACAAGCAUAUGUUCAGUUUUACAUGAAUUAGGAUUUACGGGUUUAGUGAUAGUCUGGAGUUAAGAUGCAAUCGUGUCUGCUCCUUGCUGCAUGAUCAGCAAGGCAUCACCAUUCUGAUUGUCCCCGUGCCUGCUCUUUUCUGCAUGAUUAGUUGGCUGCUCUGUUUUCGGAUUUAUUGGAUGCUGCAGUCUUUUGGUUGAUGCAUAUGUGUUCUUUCUGCGCUUUAGUUUUCAACACCCUGCUGUAGGAUGCAGUUUGCCAUGCCCAGCAUAUAUUUAUCGAAAUGACAAGCCUCCAAAACUUUGUGCAACGUGCGUUGCAAAUGAAGGCGUAUGGUAAUGUUGGUUGUCUGGUGCACUAAGUAUGUGUGGGUACUAAUCACCCUCUGCUUUGUUUCACAAUGCUAGAAUUGCAGACCAUGUGCCUUGGCAGAUCACCGGCCGGUGCCUUUCCUGGCUCUUCUCAGUCAUGCAGCUAUUUGCAUUGACCUUUUUGUCCUGACGCUUCCAGGACGACUUUGUUGUCUUUACAAUUAAAUUGUUCUCAGGACCAAUUUCUUAUGGCUCAUGGUAUCGUUAAUUCGUUAUGGACCAUGACGCAGCAUCACUGAUUUGGUAACUCUGAAUUCUGUAUUGCAGGGAAGUUAGUUACAGAAUAACUUUCUUGCAAUUUUUUUUUGUUGUUCAUGUAAAAUGAUGAUCUCCGAACUAAUUUCUUAUAAUUCGUCGCAAUCACCAUUCUUUUCAAUUUCAUUGAAGACUUAGCAGGAGAAAAGACGCUGCAAGAGAAACAUGACUUAACAAUAAAACUUAUGCACAAGAUUGGACUAUUCGAAGACCUGCAGGAUCGCCCCGCACACCGUUCAGUAUUAGAUACACACAUGGAAUGAAGUUCAUCACAUUCAGUGCAUUUCAAUCAGCAGCUUAAAACAGCUUGUUGAACAACAAGUAUCUUCUGCAGUCGUGUAGAAAAACACAUCCUUACAUCAAGUGUUGGUUGUGUUUCGCUUAUACUGGAGCGCACACAUAUUCAAACACGUCACACUUGAAAAGAACAAAGAAGGAUUAAAAACUGGAGCAUGCAUCUCUGUAUGCUAAAUUCUUCCAUUUGCAAUCUGGCAUUUGUUUUCUGCUCAAAAUCAAGGCCUUCAGCUUGACUUCACUGGUGAUAAUCUUCAGAAAGGGCACAUGUAUCUCGAGUCACAAUAAUCCAUCAUUUGCAGCCCUGGCAAUGAUCCUACAAAGAAGUCAAACACGGGAGUCAGCAUUAGAAGCUAGUGUCAUACAAAAUCAAUCAUCAGGCACACGAAUAUUACGAACCAUGGUAAUAUCUUUCAUCAGGUCUUCAAUAUGCUAUUUCAAGCAUGCCAGCCGCCUCCUAAUUGAAUAUUCCCGUCCUAGCAGGUCAGGUCGUGAUCAUAGAUGGUGUCAGAAGUUAUGCAUGCAAAUCAACACCAAAUUAUAAAAGUAUAUAUACAGGAGAAUGACUGUAUACGGCAUCCAAUAGUAUUGUACACGCAAAAAAUAUGUUUUAUGUAAAAAGGCAUAGGCAUUUAAACAAAAUUACACAUAUUCAAACCUUAUGUCAUGGAGCUAGUGAAUUUCGAGAAAAAACGUGAAGACAACUAACAGGGAAAAUAAUCACAGAGAGCAGUCAACUAUAGCAUACAAUAUUGGUUCAAAAUGACAGGAAAAAUAAAUUCAUCAGCCACUUGGAUUAGAACUAAUAUAGUUUGGCUGCAGUAAUUCCAUCAUGCCACACUUUAAUAUGUUAGUAAAGGAAGUUUGAUCGAUUAUACCUGAUUCGAAUUAACAAGGGGCGGCAAAAAUCAUCUGAUAACUAAAUUCCUUUGAGGGACCAGAGAAGAGAUGCACAAGGAUGACUACACUAUGGUGCAUCAUUAAUUUCUGCCUAAACUUGUUGACUGAAUUUUACUAGAGGUUCUAAACACUGUUAAAACUUUUUAAUCACUAAAUUGUACUACCACAUCUUGUCGUCACUACUAGUAUGCUUAUUUUGCUUUUUUGCCAAAACACCAAUUGAGCUCCUGGUCACUUUAUUAAAAGAAAUGGACAAAAAAAAAAGACUGGAGGUUACCUUCGUAACAUGCAUCUAGUGUUUUCUCCUCGAGAUGAUCCAGACGUUGCAGUAGGCUCAGGGGAAGCAACGUUAUACAAGGACAAGAUUCAAUCAUAAGAGCUCUAAGAUAUGAGUAGGCUUGAGGCCCAUUCGGUAAGGAUUGCAGGCUUUCGCAAUUCCAAAGGCGGAGGUCUUCCAGCAAUGGGAGCCUUCCUAAGCAAGAUUCCAGCGAUUUCAAAUUACUGCAAUUUCCAAUACAUAAUGUUUGGAGGGCAUCCAGUUGUCCCGAUAAGGAUCGAAGAUUGUAGCAGCACCUGAUCUCCAAGGUCUUGAUGGACGGAGGAAGAUUGGCAACCUCUGACAAGCCACGGCAAAGCAUUAUGUCUAGCGAUUCUAGGCAUGGAAGGAAGGGAUGGCUGGUUGAUGAUGACAGCUUCCGUACAGCUGUAGACGCCCUGGCUUCACUGCUGGAUCCUGGAAUCAGUGAUGACGUAUCCUCCUGCUGACCGAAUAUGAUGGACCCGAGCAUAAGGCAGUCGUAAAUACAUAAUGUCUUGGCCGGUAGGUUGGGAACCUCUACCAAAGAUUGACAUUCAUUUAAGUAUAGAGACUCUAGACAUGGCAGGAGUCCACUCCGUUCUGGAGCAGAUUGCUCAGAAGUUUCUUGUGUGCGUCCAGUCAGCUUGCUGCAUGCCCUAAUAUAUAACGUCCUCAAGGAUACUAGGGCCUGGAACACGUUUUCUGGCCAGUAGACAAGAGUGUCGCAAUACUGAAUUUUUAAAUCUACGAGCUGUGCAAAACAUGUCCAUAGUGGCAGUGCACUUGAAUGGGAGAACGAAAGGUUGUAUCUCAGUAAAUCCAUAUGUGUCAGAGGGGAUCUAUGCUCCCAUUUCUCCCUGCCAUGCACCAACUCACUCGAAUUCUGUUCAGCCACCGAUUCUGUUUCUGUAUUAUAGCCACACAACUCCAGGUUGGACAAUGAAGUGAUAUAUCUACUAGCUGCAUGCAGGGAUGAUAUUUGUUGGCUGGCUCCGUCUACUCGUAAUACACUUAGCUUCGGUGCUUCGGGUAGAGUAGUCAACUCUGGGCAACUCCGAAUUAUUAGUUUCUCAAGCCGAUGAAACGCUAGCUCUUCUCCUGAAUUUCUUUCGCCUGCCUCCCAUCGUUGAAACAUCUCAAGAUCAUCUAAUUCCAUUACCUUCAAUACUGGAAAUGCAGACCUGUACUCGGUCUUGACCCCUUCAAAUGUUUCUUUAAUAACUGAUGCUUUCGGCAAUGCAGCCAGACUUUUACACUCUUUGAUAAACAACAUCUCAAGCAGAGGAAAUGUUAGCUCUUCUCCUGGAGUUCUUUCGCCAUCCUCCCAUCGCUGAAACAUCUCAAGAUUUUUUAGUGUCAUUACCUUCAAUGCUGGAAAUGCGGACCUAUACUCAGUCUUGAUCCCUUCAAAUGUUUGUUUAAUAACUGAUGCUUUCGGCAAUGCAGCCAGACUUUUACAUUCUUUGAUUAAUAGCUUCUCAAGCAGAGGAAAUAUUGGCCUUUCUCCUCGCACCUCACCUGUGCCCCACCAUAUCUCAAAGUUUGGCAACUUCAAAAUUUUAAGGAUCUUCAGUUUCUGAAAUGUGAAGGCUGUAUCACUGCUGCACAAGUAACGUAUGUUUUCCAAUCCGCGCAAGCAAAGAAUUUGCAGAGCUGAUAACUGCCAGAAUGCAGGAAGCUUCUCGAGUCUUUUGCAAUCGGAAAACUCAAGCUCCACUAUACCUUGCAACUUAUUCAUCCAUGUUGGACAAGUGUCCAUACUGCAACAAUAUAUCCUUAGAACCUUCAGCCCAUCAUGAGGCUGCAGUCCUUCCAGUACCUCUUUAUCACUGUUAUGUGCCUCCUUGUCACAAUCACUCCAUCUCAAUGUCAAUCUGGCCAGUUUUUUCUUAUUUCUGAGUUUUGCCUCUUUUGCAUCUGCCUCUUUCACAUUUUCUAGCCGUUUAAGCUCCAGCUGACCACCAAGGUCGUCUAACCGCCUCAGUUCUCCCACCCUACUGCAAUCAGAGCCUGCACCUGCUACAAAGCAUGUCAGCGUCUGUAGGGAAGUGAGGUAUCUGAGGUCAGCAGGCAUGCUCUUUAACUUCCAACAUCCGUGAGUGUAGAGGUGACGGAGGGCAGUCAUGUACUUCAUUCCCUUUGGAAGUCGUUCAAGAUCAUCACAGUCAGAAAGGUUCAAUGUUUGCAGAUGAUAUAGGAUGCUUAUAUCUUCAGGAAGUGAUUUAAUAAAAUAGCUUCGUGAGAGAUCAAGAUAC